RNAcentral lists this ribosomal RNA (1038 nucleotides) under Salmonella enterica subsp. enterica serovar Enteritidis. RNAcentral's name for it is "partial 23S ribosomal RNA". It matches the Rfam family "Bacterial large subunit ribosomal RNA", at positions 134 to 1215 of the family's 2925-position model. Lineage: Bacteria; Pseudomonadati; Pseudomonadota; Gammaproteobacteria; Enterobacterales; Enterobacteriaceae. The record is from RNAcentral.
UGAUUCGUCACACUAUCAUUAACUGAAUCCAUAGGUUAAUGAGGCGAACCGGGGGAACUGAAACAUCUAAGUACCCCGAGGAAAAGAAAUCAACCGAGAUUCCCCCAGUAGCGGCGAGCGAACGGGGAGGAGCCCAGAGCCUGAAUCAGCAUGUGUGUUAGUGGAAGCGUCUGGAAAGGCGCGCGAUACAGGGUGACAGCCCCGUACACAAAAGCGCAUGUGCUGUGAGCUCGAUGAGUAGGGCGGGACACGUGGUAUCCUGUCUGAAUAUGGGGGGACCAUCCUCCAAGGCUAAAUACUCCUGACUGACCGAUAGUGAACCAGUACCGUGAGGGAAAGGCGAAAAGAACCCCGGCGAGGGGAGUGAAAAAGAACCUGAAACCGUGUACGUACAAGCAGUGGGAGCACCCUUUGGGUGUGACUGCGUACCUUUUGUAUAAUGGGUCAGCGACUUAUAUUCUGUAGCAAGGUUAACCGAAUAGGGGAGCCGGAGGGAAACCGAGUCUUAACCGGGCGUUAAGUUGCAGGGUAUAGACCCGAAACCCGGUGAUCUAGCCAUGGGCAGGUUGAAGGUUGGGUAACACUAACUGGAGGACCGAACCGACUAAUGUUGAAAAAUUAGCGGAUGACCUGUGGCUGGGGGUGAAAGGCCAAUCAAACCGGGAGAUAGCUGGUUCUCCCCGAAAGCUAUUUAGGUAGCGCCUCGUGAAUUCAUCUCCGGGGGUAGAGCACUGUUUCGGCUAGGGGGCCAUCCCGGCUUACCAACCCGAUGCAAACUGCGAAUACCGGAGAAUGUUAUCACGGGAGACACACGGCGGGUGCUAACGUCCGUCGUGAAGAGGGAAACAACCCAGACCGCCAGCUAAGGUCCCAAAGUCAUGGUUAAGUGGGAAACGAUGUGGGAAGGCCCAGACAGCCAGGAUGUUGGCUUAGAAGCAGCCAUCAUUUAAAGAAAGCGUAAUAGCUCACUGGUCGAGUCGGCCUGCGCGGAAGAUGUAACGGGGCUAAACCAUGCACCGAAGCUGCGGCAGCGACACU